This 392-nucleotide long non-coding RNA is filed under the name Vigna radiata. Its description in RNAcentral is "long non-coding RNA (VRAD_LNC010943)". The record is from RNAcentral. Lineage: Eukaryota; Viridiplantae; Streptophyta; Magnoliopsida; Fabales; Fabaceae.
AUCUUGAAAUUUUAUUUAAAAUUAUAUAAAGAAAAAAUUAGGUGUUUUAAUUUUUUUAUUCAUGUAAGUAUUUUUUUUCUCUAACCAUUUUAUUUAAUAAUGAAUGUUUUUUUAGUUGGAGCUAGUGUAGAGAUGAAAAAAAAUGUUUGAGUGAGAGGAAUGAAGGAGAAAGGGUUAAGAGGAAUGAAGGAGGUGAGGAAGGGUUUGAGAUUUCUUUUUUUAGUCUUGAGAAUGAAAAUUAUUAAAAUAAAGCAAGUGUUUCUGAUUUUUUUUUUCAAUUGAGGUUAGAGUAUGGAUGAAAGAGAAAAUGCUGGAGUGAAAGAGAUGAGAGAGAAAGAGUUGAGAGGAAUGAGAGAGAUGGGUAAGGGUUUGGGGUUUUUUUUUAUUUUUUU